CCUACGGGAGGCUGCAGUGAGGAAUAUUGGUCAAUGGGCGCGAGCCUGAACCAGCCAAGUCGCGUGAGGGAAGACGGUCCUAUGGAUUGUAAACCUCUUUUGUCGGGGAGCAAAAGACGCCACGCGUGGCGUUCCGCGAGUACCCGUAGAAAAAGCAUCGGCUAACUCCGUGCCAGCAGCCGCGGUAAUCCGGAGGAUGCGAGCGUUAUCCGGAUUUAUUGGGUUUAAAGGGUGCGCAGGCGGAAGAUCAAGUCCGUGGUAAAAUUGGGAGGCUCAACCUCGUCGAGCCGUUGAAACUGGUUUUCUUGAGUGAGCGAGAAGUAUGCGGAAUGCGUGGUGUAGCGGUGAAAUGCAUAGAUAUCACGCAGAACUCCGAUUGCGAAGGCAGCAUACCGGCGCUCAACUGACGCUCAUGCACGAAAGUGUGGGUAUCGAACAGGAUUAGAUACCCUGGUAGUC
RNAcentral lists this ribosomal RNA (459 nucleotides) under uncultured bacterium. RNAcentral's name for it is "partial 16S ribosomal RNA". It matches the Rfam family "Bacterial small subunit ribosomal RNA", at positions 338 to 795 of the family's 1533-position model. The record is from RNAcentral.